Maylandia zebra (zebra mbuna) is the source of this 557-nucleotide non-coding RNA. Lineage: Eukaryota; Metazoa; Chordata; Actinopteri; Cichliformes; Cichlidae. The record is from RefSeq and is a predicted model, not a curated record.
UUCGGAUUUGGUGCUUAAAACUUCUUGAAACUGUAACCGUAUUUCAUUCACCACAAAGAACUAUCUGAUUGAAUAGUUUUCUUAUCAGAUAGAGAAAUAAAACGAGUCGCAAAGUCUAAAAGCAACAUUUGUCUGCCUGGGCUGUACCUCUGCACGUUAGUCUGUUUCAGUGUGUGACCCCCCACCCCCUCCCUGAUCAGUCGGGGGUGAGUGCGCUAAUGUGCCUGGAGGCCGUUUUAAUGAGUGUUUGCUGGAAAACGAAAAAUACAAGAAGGAUUUGUACGUUUUCACAACGGGGGAGUUUGCUAAACUUUGACCACUUCCAGAUACUGCGGGCCAUCGGGAAAGGAAGCUUUGGAAAGGAGAAGCGUGGAGACGAGAGGGCAGCGAGCACGGGGUGCUCAGACACUGAGGAGCGGAGACAAGGAACACUAGCACUGGGAAGAGGACAUUUCACGGGAGUCGGGAACGCACUGCGGAUUUAUUGUUAUUUUCCAUUCACUGUAAAUAAACGCACUGCUUGCAUUCAGAGCUCCGUGCCUGGCUCCUCCUUCCUC